Long non-coding RNA from Mesocricetus auratus (golden hamster), 722 nucleotides. RefSeq lists it as uncharacterized. The record is from RefSeq and is a predicted model, not a curated record. The transcript has 2 exons. Lineage: Eukaryota; Metazoa; Chordata; Mammalia; Rodentia; Cricetidae.
CACACCUUCCGCACGUCCUCUGCAGAGUCUGGACAGAAAGACAAUGGGGUCUUAACUGCAGUUCACCAAGGUUCUCACCACUGCUUGCUUACUUAGAAAGGGCUGCACAUGCUUUCAACUGCAACACCUCUUUUCUCUAAACCUUCAAGCUGCUAUAUGAAGCUUCGGUAAGUCACAGCUAUAAGGGACAAUGUUCACCCAUGGGAACAAGCUCCUUUUAAAAAAAAACGGUGUUAGAAUCCCAGGACCCAGAAUCCUCGACAAUGACUCAAGGACUAUUUGAGUUCAAAAUUAACGGUUCCUUUCUCGUUCUACAAGGUAGAAAUAAGCAGAAGAAUCAUCUGACCUGGAUUGGAAUGACACUGGCUGUACAACACAGUGAACUGGCCAUCUUGUUCCAGAACAUGGAAGUCACAGUCUCCCUCCACCGCCUAGGAAAGAAACCCAGGAGCACUAUGACUUGACUCCUCAUCUGGGGAGCAGCCUGGCAGGACUCUGGGAGCAAAAGCCGGAAGCCUGAUUGGCUGCCAUGGAGAAGAAGCCUCAGUGUUGGGAGAAUCAUGGAGAAGAAGCCUCAGUGUUGGGAGAAUCAUGGAGAAGAAGCCUCAGUGUUGGGAGAAUCAUGGAUUGGCCACUUGAUUCUGCCCUUUAUGAUUCCUAAAGGGCCAAAGCGCUGUGAAACCAGGCAUUAACGUCUAAUAAACACACUGUUUUUUCACUCA